RNAcentral lists this ribosomal RNA (497 nucleotides) under uncultured bacterium. RNAcentral's name for it is "partial 16S ribosomal RNA". It matches the Rfam family "Bacterial small subunit ribosomal RNA", at positions 28 to 507 of the family's 1533-position model. The record is from RNAcentral.
GAUGAACGCUGGCGGCGUGCCUAAUACAUGCAAGUCGAGCGAACAGACGAGGAGCUUGCUCCUUCGACGUUAGCGGCGGACGGGUGAGUAACACGUAGGUAACCUACCUAUAAGACUGGGAUAACUUCGGGAAACCGGAGCUAAUACCGGAUAAUAUUUCGAACCGCAUGGUUCGAUAGUGAAAGAUGGCUUUGCUAUCACUUAUAGAUGGACCUGCGCCGUAUUAGCUAGUUGGUAAGGUAACGGCUUACCAAGGCAACGAUACGUAGCCGACCUGAGAGGGUGAUCGGCCACACUGGAACUGAGACACGGUCCAGACUCCUACGGGAGGCAGCAGUAGGGAAUCUUCCGCAAUGGGCGAAAGCCUGACGGAGCAGCGCCGCGUGAGUGAUGAAGGUCUUCGGAUCGUAAAACUCUGUUAUUAGGGAAGAACAAACGUGUAAGUAACUGUGCACGUCUUGACGGUACCUAAUCAGAAAGCCACGGCUAACUACGUG